GGUUCCGUAGCUCAAUUGGAUAGAGCAACUGCCUUCUAAGCAGUAGGUUACAGGUUCGAUUCCUGUCGGAAUCA
RNAcentral lists this transfer RNA (74 nucleotides) under Cyclobacteriaceae bacterium. RNAcentral describes it as "tRNA-Arg". It matches the Rfam family "tRNA". From Rfam's summary of the family: Transfer RNA (tRNA) molecules are approximately 80 nucleotides in length. Their secondary structure includes four short double-helical elements and three loops (D, anti-codon, and T loops). Further hydrogen bonds mediate the characteristic L-shaped molecular structure. tRNAs have two regions of fundamental functional importance: the anti-codon, which is responsible for specific mRNA codon recognition, and the 3' end, to which the tRNAs corresponding amino acid is attached (by aminoacyl-tRNA synthetases). tRNAs cope with the degeneracy of the genetic code in two manners: having more than one tRNA (with a specific anti-codon) for a particular amino acid; and 'wobble' base-pairing, i.e. permitting non-standard base-pairing at the 3rd anti-codon position. Lineage: Bacteria; Pseudomonadati; Bacteroidota; Cytophagia; Cytophagales; Cyclobacteriaceae. The record is from RNAcentral.